Molecule: ribosomal RNA, 433 nt
Filed under: uncultured bacterium
Lineage: Bacteria
Description: partial 16S ribosomal RNA
Rfam family: Bacterial small subunit ribosomal RNA
Source: RNAcentral
AACGAACGCUGGCGGCAUGCCUAACACAUGCAAGUCGAACGAGACCUUCGGGUCUAGUGGCGCACGGGUGCGUAACGCGUGGGAACAUGCACUUAGGUUCGGAAUAACUCCCCGAAAGGGGUGCUAAUACCGGAUAAUGUCUUCGGACCAAAGAAUUGUCGCCUUUGGAUGGGCCCGCGUGGGAUUAGCUAGUUGGUAGGGUAAAAGCCUACCAAGGCGACGAUCCAUAGCUGGUCUGAGAGGAUGAUCAGCCACACUGGGACUGGGACACGGCCCAGACUCCUACGGGAGGCAGCAGUGGGGAAUAUUGGACAAUGGGCGAAAGCCUGAUCCAGCAAUGCCGCGUGAGUGAUGAAGGCCUUAGGGUUGUAAAGCUCUUUUACCCGGGAUGAUAAUGACAGUACCGGGAGAAUAAGCUCCGGCUAACUCCGUG